Homarus americanus (American lobster) is the source of this 983-nucleotide long non-coding RNA. RefSeq lists it as uncharacterized. The transcript is spliced from 3 exons. NCBI's taxonomy places the organism in Eukaryota, Metazoa, Arthropoda, Malacostraca, Decapoda, Nephropidae. The record is from RefSeq and is a predicted model, not a curated record.
UUUUUCCGUAACUGCUGUAGGUGGCGUUAUGCCUUAUUAAUAUAUUUCAAAGUUUAUUAUAUAGACUGUCUUGAUUUACCUCCGUCAUCUCGCCUGAUAUCCUUUGUCUUCAUUCUUGUCCUACCACUUCCACACACCCCCUCCCCCCUUGCCAUCCACCGUCUCUAUUUUUUUUUACCGUAUUCAUUCCAUCUCGUUCCCCCACACUCUUCCCGUCUCUUUCUCAGUCCUCUGUUUAUUCACCCAACUUCCUUUUCCGUUCUAAACUUCACCCUCGUCUUCCCCCCUUCCCUCCCUUUCCGCCUUUCUCUUUGCUCGGUACAGCACAGUGUCAACCAACAUAUCCUUCAGAGUCUGAUAGCUGUAUUUGAUGAGUGGUGAGCCGCGUUUUUUGAGGCCGUUGGUGUGUGUGGUGGUGUCUCUCGCUCUUGGUUACCAUAGGUGUGGUGGUCCCUGGUCUGUGGUUCACUCUUGUUCACACUUGAUAUUUUUGGCAGUGUUGACUUGUUACGGAUGGGUUUUUAAGUAGCUGACUCACCAAUUUGUUAAGUUAAUGGGUAAAGUAAAUGGUCUUGUUAGGUUUUGUGUAUAAAGAUUGUUUGUUAGUUUAUUUAUUUUUUGUAUUUCUGUUGCCCAGUUUCGUUUCAUUUCGUUUCCUUUGGUGUUACUUCCUCCCCGUGAAUGUUAUCGUUGUGAUACAUAGAAUAAUACGGUUCUCUUUUUCUCCCCAGGUAAGAAGAUGAAGUGUUGUUGUAGUGGCAGCUGACCCGAGUCACCCCAAGCUGGUCAGUGCCAUCCUCAACUGCUUCACCACCUGACGAGGAGCUAAGUUCCCUUUGCCGUGGUUCUUGGUGUAGAUUUACAAGCUGGUGGUGUGAAUUUUCUGUGACGCAUGUAUGUUGAGGUAACCGGGGCUGGCGAACACGUAAGCUUGUGAAGUUGUGAUGACAGGGCGUGUGGUGCCUACCUCAUGGCUCAGAGGU